AUGGUAAUCUAUGGGAGUAUUCUUUGGACAAAUAAAUACAAUGUCUGGCAGCUGUUUCUUUGUCCCUUGAACUACACGAGCUCUUUUGAAGAGCGACACAUGGAAGGAAGCCAUUUUAGUCAGACAAGGACAAAGAAUCAAGCCAUUUUAAGUGUGUUUGGAUGGACGGUGAAUUUGGUAAAAUCACUGUUGCACGGUGAUAUUUGCCAAAAUGGCGAUGGCUCGUCAUGA
Non-coding RNA from Vicia faba (fava bean), 231 nucleotides. Lineage: Eukaryota; Viridiplantae; Streptophyta; Magnoliopsida; Fabales; Fabaceae. The record is from the annotation of a GenBank genome assembly.